GACGAACGCUGGCGGCGUGCUUAACACAUGCAAGUCGAACGAGAGCGUAGAGAUAGCUUGCUUUUUCUACAAUCUAGUGGCAAACGGGUGAGUAACGCGUAAACAACCUGCCCUACGGAUGGGGACAACAGCUGGAAACGGCUGCUAAUACCGAAUACGUUCCGAAAGUCGCAUGACUAUCGGAAGAAAGGAUGGCCUCUAUUUAUAAGCUAUCGCCGGAGGUGGGGUUUGCGUCUGAUUAGCCAGUUGGAGGGGUAACGGCCCACCAAGGCGACGAUCAGUAGCCGGUCUGGGGGGAUGAACGGCCACAUUGGAACUGGGACACGGUCCAGACUCCUACGGGAGGCAGCAGUGGGGAAUCGUCCGAAAUGGGCGAAAGCCUGACGGAGCAACGCCGCGUGAGUGAAGACGGCCUUCGGGUUGUAAAGCUCUGUUAUACGGGACGAAUAAUCUUGUGGUUAAUACCCAUGAGAAGUGACGGUACCGUAAGAGAAAGCCACGGCUAACUACGUG
Molecule: ribosomal RNA, 513 nt
Filed under: uncultured bacterium
Lineage: Bacteria
Description: partial 16S ribosomal RNA
Rfam family: Bacterial small subunit ribosomal RNA
Source: RNAcentral